RNAcentral lists this ribosomal RNA (446 nucleotides) under uncultured bacterium. RNAcentral's name for it is "bacterial SSU rRNA". It matches the Rfam family "Bacterial small subunit ribosomal RNA", at positions 354 to 796 of the family's 1533-position model. The record is from RNAcentral.
GUGAGGAAUAUUGGUCAAUGGGCGGAAGCCUGAACCAGCCAAGUCGCGUGAAGGAAGACGGUCCUAUGGAUUGUAAACUUCUUUUGUAGAGGAAUAAUGGCGUCCACGUGUGGAUGAGCGGAAUGUACUCUACGAAUAAGUAUCGGCUAACUCCGUGCCAGCAGCCGCGGUAAUACGGAGGAUACGAGCGUUAUCCGGAUUUAUUGGGUUUAAAGGGUGCGUAGGUGGCGAACUAAGUCAGUGGUGAAAAGCUGCAGCUCAACUGUAGUCUUGCCGUUGAAACUGGUUUGCUCGAGAGGAGACGAGGUAUGCGGAAUGUGUGGUGUAGCGGUGAAAUGCAUAGAUAUCACACAGAACGCCGAUUGCGAAGGCAGCGUACCAGGCUCUAUCUGACACUGAAGCACGAAAGCGUGGGUAUCAAACAGGAUUAGAAACCCUAGUAGUCC